AGUCGAACGAAGUAGCAAUACUCAGUGGCAGACGGGUGAGUAACAUGUAGGUAUCUGCCCUUUGGCCUGGAAUAACACGAGGAAACUUGUGCUAAUACCGGAUAAGUCUUUACGGAGAAAGCUUUAUGCACCAUUGGAUGAGCCUGCACUUGAUUAGUUUGUUGGUGGGGUAAUGGCCUACCAAGACUGUGAUCAAUAGCUGAUUUGAGAGGAUGAUCAGCCACAUUGGGACUGAGACACGGCCCAAACUCCUACGGGAGGCAGCAGUGGGGAAUCUUGCACGAUGGAGGAAACUCUGAUGCAGCGAUGCCGCGUGAGUGAAGAAGGCCUUUGGGUUGUAAAGCUCUUUCGUCGGGGAAGAAAAUGACUGUACCCGAAUAGGAAGGUCCGGCUAACUUCGUGCCAGCAGCCGCGGUAAUACGAAGGGACCUAGCGUAGUUCGGAAUUACUGGGCUUAAAGAGUUCGUAGGUGGUUGAAGAAGUUGGUGGUGAAAUCCCAGAGCUUAACUCUGGAACUGCCAUCAAAACUUUUCAGCUAGAGUAUGAUAGAGGAAAGCAGAAUUUCUAGUGUAGAGGUGAAAUUCGUAGAUAUUAGAAAGAAUACCAAUUGCGAAGGCAGCUUUCUGGAUCAUUACUGACACUGAGGAACGAAAGCAUGGGUAGCGAAGAGGAUUAGAUACCCUCGUAGUCCAUGCCGUAAACGAUGUGUGUUAGACGUUGGAAAUUUAUUUUCAGUGUCGCAGCGAAAGCGAUAAACACA
This 760-nucleotide ribosomal RNA is filed under the name uncultured marine bacterium. Its description in RNAcentral is "bacterial SSU rRNA". It matches the Rfam family "Bacterial small subunit ribosomal RNA", at positions 60 to 868 of the family's 1533-position model. The record is from RNAcentral.